GACGUAGGGCGCGAGCGUUGUCCGGAUUUAUUGGGCGUAAAGAGCUCGUAGGCGGCUUGUCGCGUCGUUCGUGAAAACCUGUGGCUCAACUACAGGCUUGCGGUCGAUACGGGCAGGCUGGAGUUCGGUAGGGGAGACUGGAAUUCCUGGUGUAGCGGUGAAAUGCGCAGAUAUCAGGAGGAACACCGGUGGCGAAGGCGGCAUCCUGGACCGAGAUUGACGCUGAUGAGCGAAAGCUAGGGGAGCAAACAGG
RNAcentral lists this ribosomal RNA (253 nucleotides) under uncultured bacterium. RNAcentral describes it as "partial 16S ribosomal RNA". It matches the Rfam family "Bacterial small subunit ribosomal RNA", at positions 524 to 776 of the family's 1533-position model. The record is from RNAcentral.